This 497-nucleotide ribosomal RNA is filed under the name uncultured bacterium. Its description in RNAcentral is "partial 16S ribosomal RNA". It matches the Rfam family "Bacterial small subunit ribosomal RNA", at positions 36 to 507 of the family's 1533-position model. The record is from RNAcentral.
UCUUCCCUCUUUCUUCGUGCCUAAUACAUGCAAGUCGAGCGAACGGACGAGAAGCUUGCUUUUCUGAUGUUAGCGGCGGACGGGUGAGUAACACGUGGAUAACCUACCUAUAAGACUGGGAUAACUUCGGGAAACCGGAGCUAAUACCGGAUAAUAUUUUGAACCGCAUGGUUCAAAAGUGAAAGACGGUCUUGCUGUCACUUAUAGAUGGAUCCGCGCUGCAUUAGCUAGUUGGUAAGGUAACGGCUUACCAAGGCAACGAUGCAUAGCCGACCUGAGAGGGUGAUCGGCCACACUGGAACUGAGACACGGUCCAGACUCCUACGGGAGGCAGCAGUAGGGAAUCUUACGCAAUGGGCGAAAGCCUGACGGAGCAACGCCGCGUGAGUGAUGAAGGUCUUCGGAUCGUAAAACUCUGUUAUUAGGGAAGAACAUAUGUGUAAGUAACUGUGCACAUCUUGACGGUACCUAAUCAGAAAGCCACGGCUAACUACGUG